AGUGUAGAUUCAGAGUUUGAUCCUGGCUCAGGACGAACGCUGGCGGCGUGCCUAAUACAUGCAAGUCGAGCGAACCGAUUAAAAGCUUGCUUUUAUGAGGUUAGCGGCGGACGGGUGAGUAACACGUGGGCAACCUGCCCUAUAGACUGGGAUAACUCGCGGAAACGCGUGCUAAUACCGGAUAAUACAAUGAAGUGCCUGCUUCAUUGUUGAAAGAUGGCUUUUGCUAUCACUAUAGGAUGGGCCCGCGGCGCAUUAGCUAGUUGGUGGGGUAACGGCCUACCAAAGCGACGAUGCGUAGCCGACCUGAGAGGGUGAUCGGCCACACUGGGACUGAGACACGGCCCAG
Molecule: ribosomal RNA, 349 nt
Filed under: uncultured bacterium
Lineage: Bacteria
Description: bacterial SSU rRNA
Rfam family: Bacterial small subunit ribosomal RNA
Source: RNAcentral